GGCCACCUCGCGAGUAUAGGAAUGAACUGCGCGCGCGUGAAUCGCACUCACGAGGUCAGGGGUUCGAAUCCCCUCCGGUCCACCA
RNAcentral lists this transfer RNA (85 nucleotides) under Chloroflexota bacterium. Its description in RNAcentral is "Chloroflexi bacterium tRNA-Ala". Lineage: Bacteria; Bacillati; Chloroflexota. The record is from RNAcentral.